UGGCGUAAACAAAGGGAAGCGAAGCCGCGAGGCGGAGCGAACCCCAAAAAUAACGUCCCAGUUCGGACUGUAGUCUGCAACCCGACUACACGAAGCUGGAAUCGCUAGUAAUCGCGGAUCAGCAUGCCGCGGUGAAUACGUUCCCGGGUCUUGUACACACCGCCCGUCACACCAUGGGAGCCGGAAAUGCCCGAAGCCUGUGACCCAACCCAAUAGGGAGGGAGCAGUCGAAGGUGGAGCCGGUAACUGGGGUGAAGUCGUAACAAGGUAAC
Molecule: ribosomal RNA, 272 nt
Filed under: uncultured bacterium
Lineage: Bacteria
Description: partial 16S ribosomal RNA
Rfam family: Bacterial small subunit ribosomal RNA
Source: RNAcentral